Molecule: long non-coding RNA, 286 nt
Organism: Fukomys damarensis (Damara mole-rat)
Lineage: Eukaryota; Metazoa; Chordata; Mammalia; Rodentia; Bathyergidae
Exons: 3
Source: RefSeq, a predicted model, not a curated record
AGCCUACAUCUUGUAGGGCCUUCAAAGGGAGACCAAGGGGCAGGCUGGCUUUGAGCUAUGGCUUCCUGCAGAGGUUGGUGUUGCUGGAGAGGUGAGACACAGUUUGCAGAGCAGUGCUACAGGGCAUCGGCAGCCACAGGGCACAGGCUCCACCACUGCCAUGUGAAGCAGUUGGCAGAUUGGCAAGAUCAUCCUGUACCACAGAAGGGAUUACUGAGGCUCAGAGGGGCUGCUGUGGACACUUGGGCAGAUCAAAAGAGAUAACAGAGUACAGAGGGAGAGGGAG